RNAcentral lists this ribosomal RNA (333 nucleotides) under uncultured eukaryote. RNAcentral describes it as "partial 18S ribosomal RNA". It matches the Rfam family "Eukaryotic small subunit ribosomal RNA", at positions 1470 to 1796 of the family's 1831-position model. The record is from RNAcentral.
CCCUUAGAUGUCCUGGGCUGCACGCGCGCUACACUGAUGUGUCCAGUAAGCACCUAACCUCUUCCGAAAGGAACGGGUAACCUUUGCAAAGCACAUCGUGAUGGGGAUAGAUUAUUGCAAUUAUUAGUCUUGAACGAGGAAUUCCUAGUAAGCACAAGUCAUCAGCUUGUGUUGAUUACGUCCCUGCCCUUUGUACACACCGCCCGUCGCUACUGCCAACUGAGAUGGGUCCUGAAUUGUUAGGAACGCCCGUCAAGGGGCCUACCCGGUCCCUAGUGCGGUGACGAGAAUAACUGUAAAUGGCAUAUCUUGUAGGGAGUAAAAGUCGUAACA